GAGGGGAGACACUGAGAAGUCAGGAAACAUCUGUUCCAAAUGGCGUCCCCAGAAGGAUUUGGAGUACCAGUGACUUGGGUUAUCUUUGCAGUUAGGGAAGAAGGGAACACAUCCCAGGAUCCCUUGCUCUGCUUUCUAUGAAGACAUGGAGACGUGCGGGCUUUAUUUCCCAUCUCCCAGCCCCGGGUGCCUCUGUGAUGAAGCCUUGACGGUUUUGGCUGCCCUUUCUCGACUUCUGUUGUUUUCUGGGGCUCAGUGGGAUCAGUAUUCUGUGCCGUGGCAAGACAUGCCAACAAAUUGCAUCACUUCUGCCUCGGUGACCAAGGACAAUGACAUGCCAUAUGCCAGCGGCAGGAAAUGAAUGGGGCUCAUUUACACUGGCACCGGGUGAUGCGGCCAUCAGCUUCCUGAGACUGUCUGCAGCAAAUUGGAAGGUGGCAGAGAGGCGGAACCCCUGGGCUCCCAGCUACAGGACAGAGAAGACUCUGGAGCCAGGAAGCUCAGUGCUUGGGUCUGCUGCAAACUGCUGGAAGCGUAAAUGGGAAGAAAGUUCUCUCUGCAUAGCUCACAGCUCUGCACUGAUCUCAGCGCUGUCGGAAGUGUGUACCGGGAUUCCGUCUUUCUCACUUGUUUUCUGUGCUCAGGGCUGUUGCAGGCAAAGGUCUUUUGCUAACGAGGCGAGCAACGGGAGAUGGUGAGAGUUGGUCGAUGGCAGUUGAGAACAGGACAUGAAAAGAUGUUUCCAUACAUUGCCGAAAGAGAAAGAGGAGGAACCAUCAGAGUGUGGGAGAAGGAAUGAUGCCCAUGACUGAUCCAAGGAUGCUCUGGGUGUUAGCUCCAGCAGACAGUGCUGGGUGCAUGCUUGCUCAGCGCUUGUAUAUGCUGACCCCUAACCUUGCUGACCCAACCCUUGCAGAUAGAAGUCCCUAACCUUGCUAUCCCAACCCUUGCUAAUGAUGACCUGUAACCUUUCUAUUUCAGCCUUUGCAGAUGUGGGCCCUUGACACUGUAAUCAUCUUUGUUAGGUGUGCAAAAGAUGACCCUCCGAACCAUAUGAACACAGUUCUGGGAACUGUGCCCUCUAUGUUCAAACUAAUAUAAACAAGAAUGUAAGGAAAAGAACCCCA
RNAcentral lists this small RNA (1127 nucleotides) under Rattus norvegicus (Norway rat). RNAcentral's name for it is "uncharacterized LOC102548287". The record is from RNAcentral. Lineage: Eukaryota; Metazoa; Chordata; Mammalia; Rodentia; Muridae.